GUCAUAAUCCUCCUGCCUCAGCUCUAGCCGACUCACCCAGCGUUAUGGGCUUGCUGUCCUCCUGGUCCGAGCCCACACCUGUCCGGGGACUGCUGCUCUGCUCCGCAUCUGCCAAGAGAGGAGGGGACAGUUGGUGACACUACAGGGACCUAUGAUCCUAGUUCUGCCACUUUUGUGCUGUGUGGGCUUUGCAAAUCUGCAGGAGACAGCAUGACGGCUGGACUGGAGGUCGCCUUUCCCGAUGACAGAUGGCACAGGCGGACGGUGACACAGACGGUCACCCUGACCCACCCACAGAAGCUAACGCCAGCCUGGCUGUGCCGCUGCGCCUUCAGGACGAGCACUUGACAGUACUUCAAACUCCCGCCAAUCCACUGUUGCAUAAAUAAAAGUGGGGCCAAAC
This 403-nucleotide long non-coding RNA is filed under the name Mus pahari (shrew mouse). RNAcentral describes it as "lncRNA (MGP_PahariEiJ_G0003967.1)". Lineage: Eukaryota; Metazoa; Chordata; Mammalia; Rodentia; Muridae. The record is from RNAcentral.